AUUGAACGCUGGCGGCAGGCCUAACACAUGCAAGUCGAACGAGUGGCGGACGGGUGAGUAAUGUCUGGGAAACUGCCUGAUGGAGGGGGAUAACUACUGGACACGGUAGCUAAUACCGCAUACCAUCGGAUGUGCCCAUAUGGGAUUCGCUAGUAGGUGGGGUAAAGGCUCCACUAGGCGACGAUCCCUAGCUGGUCUGAGAGGAUGACCAGCCAAACUGGGACCGGGAAACGGCCCAGACUCCUAAGGGAGGAAGCAGUGGGGAAUAUUGGACAAUGGGCGCAAGCCUGAUGCAGCCAUGCCGCGGGUAUGAAGAAGGCCUUCGGGUUGUAAAGUACGUUCAGCCGGGAGGCGUUACCCGCAGAAGAAGCACCGGCUAACUCCGUGCCAGCAGCCGCGGUAAUAC
This 406-nucleotide ribosomal RNA is filed under the name uncultured bacterium. RNAcentral describes it as "partial 16S ribosomal RNA". It matches the Rfam family "Bacterial small subunit ribosomal RNA", at positions 30 to 526 of the family's 1533-position model. The record is from RNAcentral.